AUAUUACUUUAGUUUGGUAGUUGAAAAUGUUUUUUAUUUUGGCUAAAUUACAGAAAACCCUUCUGUAAUAACCCGCUUUUUCACUUUUUCCCCCUGACAUUUAAAAACCUACACUUUGCCCCCUGUAAAAUGAAAAAUGUUCACAGAGGGUUACGGUGUCUAAAAUGACCAUUUUACCCCUCGCCAUUAUCGUCUUCUUCCCCAUCUUCCUCAGCCGCCCCUUCAUUCGGCCGUGAUUGCCACCUCAAUCGGCCGCGAUUUCUCUCCAUUUCCUUCUCCACCUGCUCCCCUUCUCCUCCUGCACCCUCGCCGUCCUCGAUUUCGGCGACAGUAGGAGAAAACCGAGGUGGGCGACAGUAGGAGAAGGGCAAAGAAGGCGAAGGCGAGGCGGCGGAGGACGGCGAAGGAGAUGUGGGUGAGGGCGAGGCAGUGGAGGACGGCGAGGCCGCUAGGCGGCGAGGCGGCGGCGAGGUGGCGAGCCGGAGGGAGGCGAAGGAACAGGGAGAUGGCGGAGGGGUAUUUUUGGCAUAAAAAUAUAUUUUUUAACGGAACCCUAACGGUAGGGAGUGAAGUGCACAUUUUUUAUUUUACAGGGGGGUAAAGUGUAGAUUUUUAAAUGUCAGGGAGGAAAAGUGAAAAAACGGAUUAUUACAAGAGGGUUUUCUGUAAUUUAGCCUUUUAAAUCGAAUGAUUUAAUUCUUUGCCAAAUACAGCAGUUCUCCUUGUACAGUUUCGAUUGCAGUUGGUGGAAUCAAAUGUACUGAUCCUAACACUAUAUUUGAAGUUAUAUGUAAGUUAGAACUGCAAUGCAAUAGUUAUUACGUGCUACUAAAUAGCCCUCAGAUGAACACUUUUAUGUUCAAUAAGGGGAUAUAUAUAUAUAUAUAUAUAUAUAUAUAUAGAGUGAGGCUACUAUGCUAUCGGAAGCACGGAGCCUUCCGUGCUUCCAGCUCGUUUUCGAUGUUGCGACUUUCGAAUCGUCGAUCGGCUCCGUUAAACUUGAUCUAGAGUAUUUGGAGUACCUAGAAAAUAAAUUUUAUUAUUUUUCGAUAUCAUUUGCCUAGUGAUCGAAUGGGCUCAAAAUCAACAAAUUUCAAUGGCCAUAGUGAGCCGUUUGCAAGUUUAACGGUGUAGAAAUAUCCAAAUCACGUGAAAUUUUGAUAGAAAAUUCUUUAUACUAUAUAAAACAAGAUCAAUAUCUUUGAUUUAAAAUUUUAAUAUCAUAUUAUUACAUUUUGUAAGAUUUUUAUUUUCAGCCGUUGAUUUUGAGCCCCUUCGUUCACUAGGCAAAUGAUAUCGUAAAAUCAUAAAAUUUAUUUUCUAGCUACUUCAAAUACUCUAGAUCAAGUUUAACGGAGCCGAUCGACGAUUCGAAAGUCGCAACAUCGAAAACGAGCUAGAAGCACGGAAGGCUCCGUGCUUCCGAUAGCAUAGUAGCCUCACUCUAUAUAUAUAUAUAU
This 1460-nucleotide long non-coding RNA is filed under the name Ananas comosus (pineapple). Its description in RNAcentral is "long non-coding RNA (ACOM_LNC015562)". The record is from RNAcentral. Lineage: Eukaryota; Viridiplantae; Streptophyta; Magnoliopsida; Poales; Bromeliaceae.